GGAGAGGUACCGAAGUGGCCAUAACGGCGCCGACUCGAAAUCGGAUGGACAGCAAUGUCACGUGGGUUCGAAUCCCACCCUCUCCGCCA
Molecule: transfer RNA, 89 nt
Filed under: Acidithiobacillus sp.
Lineage: Bacteria; Pseudomonadati; Pseudomonadota; Acidithiobacillia; Acidithiobacillales; Acidithiobacillaceae
Also listed under: 14 other names
Description: tRNA-Ser
Rfam family: tRNA
About the family: Transfer RNA (tRNA) molecules are approximately 80 nucleotides in length.
Source: RNAcentral